This 232-nucleotide ribosomal RNA is filed under the name uncultured bacterium. RNAcentral describes it as "partial 16S ribosomal RNA". It matches the Rfam family "Bacterial small subunit ribosomal RNA", at positions 100 to 334 of the family's 1533-position model. The record is from RNAcentral.
GCACGGGUGAGUAACACGUAUCCAACCUGCCUCAUACUCGGGGAUAGCCUUUCGAAAGAAAGAUUAAUAUCCGAUAGCAUAUAUUUCCCGCAUGGGUUUUAUAUUAAAGAAAUUCGGUAUGAGAUGGGGAUGCGUUCCAUUAGUUUGUUGGGGGGUAACGGCCCACCAAGACUACGAUGGAUAGGGGUUCUGAGAGGAAGGUCCCCCACAUUGGAACUGAGACACGGUCCAA